UAUGUGAUCGUCUCUCGCAUAUCAAUAGCGGAGGAAAAGAAACUAACAAGGAUUCCCCUAGUAACGGCGAGUGAAGCGGGAAGAGCUCAAAUUUGAAAUCUUAAAGGGUUUCCCUUUACGAAUUGUAGUUUAAAGAAGUGUUUUCUGUUGAGGUUUUGGUAAAAGUUCUUUGGAAUAGGACAUCAUAGAGGGUGAGAAUCCCGUAUUUGACCUUUACUUUCAACUUUGUGAUACACUUUCAAAGAGUCGGAUUGUUUGGGAAUGCAGUCCAAAAUGGGUGGUAAAUUUCAUCUAAGGCUAAAUAUUGGCGAGAGACCGAUAGCGAACAAGUACCGUGAGGGAAAGAUGAAAAGAACUUUGAAAAGAGAGUUAAACAGUACGUGAAAUUGUCAAAAGGGAAGCGUUUGACACCAGUGUUGUUUUUCUGAAAAUCAAUUAAAGAACUGUUUAUGCUAAGCUGUUUAGACUUUAUCAGCUGAACUGCUUUAGUUUUGAGCUUUUCUUUAAUGCACUUUUCAGUUAACAAGUCAACAUCAAUUUCUUUUGCUGUAAAAAAGCUUGAGGAAGGUGGCUUGAGAUUCGUCUUAAGUGUUUAUAGCCUCUUGCCUAUGCAGUCGGAGAGAUUGAGGUCUGCAGCGUAGAUCCUUCGGGGCUAAAUGCAUUUGUGCUAAGUUAUAGCAUUUUAUAGACAACUUGUUGACUAUGAUUUGUCUUGUAGCUUACUCGCUUAUGUUAUUUUACCUACGCUUAGGAUGUUGAUAUCGCGCUCUCACUG
Molecule: ribosomal RNA, 775 nt
Filed under: uncultured Neocallimastigales
Lineage: Eukaryota; Fungi; Neocallimastigomycota; Neocallimastigomycetes; Neocallimastigales
Description: partial large subunit ribosomal RNA
Rfam family: Eukaryotic large subunit ribosomal RNA
Source: RNAcentral